Molecule: long non-coding RNA, 2730 nt
Organism: Acinonyx jubatus (cheetah)
Lineage: Eukaryota; Metazoa; Chordata; Mammalia; Carnivora; Felidae
Exons: 3
Source: RefSeq, a predicted model, not a curated record
CAGGAACACAGAAAAAUUCCCCGCACAAGUGCCGGAGCAGAAGCGGGGCCGGCUACCUGGUGUGGCUUCUUGGAGGUGGACACACCCCAGCUGAGAAAGUGUAUGCCCAGGAGAGAAGGUUUAUCUUUGCAGAGAUCGCUCCGGCAGCCCGGACAGAGGAGUGAGAGGGGCUGCUCAGGGAGACGAUGGAGGCCUGGCUGGGGCCCUGAGGCCAACGAGGGGUGCAGAGACUGGCCGAGGGGGCCACAGCCUGGCUGGGACCUCAGCUGGGGGCAACCUGCCCUGUGAAGGAAGACUACAAAGCCCAUUUUACAGAUGAAGAAACUGAGGCCCAAGAGGUUUCGAGACCUGUCCAGCAAGUAUCUGUUACAGUUGGGACUGCAAGGCCAGUCUUCAGACUUCAGGACACCUGCUGUCCCCUCCGACCAUUCUGUCCCCCCUCAGGUGUCAGGCAGGCCCCUUCCAACCUCUGUAAAGGCCCCCACACAUCUCAGUUACCAUCCAGGCACGCCAGGGCCUCCUGGGCUCUGCUGAGCUGUCCAGGGUCCUGGCCAGGCCCAGCCUUGCCCCGAAGUCUACUCUGAUCCCCCCCAGGCUAUCACUUCUGCCCGCCUCUUGGAUAUCAAAGAAGCAAGAACAGGGGAAGUUGCACCUGCCCCCCAGCUCCGCCCCUGCACUGCCUGCACUCCCUGUGAGCCCCGGGAUACCACACGCAACUCGCAGCUGUUCUUCUCUUCCAGAGAAUGGGUACAACGUGGGGCAGACCAGGAGGGGGUCCAUAUUCAAUACAUUUCCACGGGUAUAACAGCCGCCUCCUCGGGGCCAGGCAAAGCCAGAGCUGCGGAGAGACUGGACCCGGCCCUGCCCUUGAGCAAAUGUGGGGGCUGGAGACCAACAAGGGCCACACGCUGAUGGGCAGAGGGGAACACAGGCUGAGGGAGCACAAGGGACUUCCCACCCCUCCCAGGGGCAGAAAGGGGAGGUGCUUGGGGAGUGCCAUGUGACAAGGGCAAAUACAAGAGGACAUUCUGGGGUAGGGAUGGAAUCAGCCAAGACCUGGAGGCAAGAGUCAAAGGGGAGCCUGGGCUAGAGGAGGGAGGGACCCAGGAAGCGGUGGCAGCUGUCCCAGCACCUCCGGAGUCCAGAGCAGAGCCCCAGGGAAGGGCAGGCCUGGCAAGCCCGGUCAGAUCCCUUGGGACAGAGGGAUGGUGAAGAGGUAGGAAGGCCAAGCCUCCGUGACUUGCAGAUACAGUCACAGUAGCUCGUCCCAGCCACUUGACACGUCUCCUUCAGUCUUCGUGGCCCCGCCAGCUCAGUGUGAAGCGGUGGGCAGGGACCGGGACCCAGUGGGCUCCACAGGCUGCUACUGUCCCCUCCAGCUGAACGCGUGAUUUCCUCAACAUCCCUGAGCUCUGCGUCCUAUCUGAAUAAGAGAAAGUACCGCCUGACCCGGUCCCAGUGAGGAUCAAGUCAACUGUCGACCGGACCUGAAAAUCGGGCUCUCUGUCCUUGGCUCACGCUGCUGGAACUCAUUAGAAUUCUCCCAGGGUGGCUCCGGCAUCUGCUGGAUCCUCUGUGUCUUCCUCUGUCUGUGACAGCCACCUAAGAGCUGCCCUACACCAAUAACUCUGUCCAAACCCAGCUUGGAUUUGUGGGCACUGGGACACAGGUGACCCCAUCCACACGAGGACCUCACAGAGGGCCCAGGUGCCACGGCUAGUAGCAAGAGUACUGGUUUGAGUCAGACUAUCUGGCCCCAGGGCCAGGUCAAUGUUGGGGCCAGAGCCAAAUACGGAGAAGAAGGGAGGAAAUUUGGGCUUGCUCCUGGGACCCAGGAAAGGAAUGAAUGGGGGGGGGGGGGUCUUGGCUCUCUGGCUGUAGAAGCCCAAACCCAGACCCUUGCUGCUCCAACUGGGAGGCCUGUGGGAGGCUCAGAUAAGAUGCCUGGGACACAGGCCUGGGUCCCCACACAGACACCUGACCGGGACCCAGCAGACAGCAGGGCCCCCAGGGUGGGCCAGACCCUGGAACGAGCGCCCUGGGGAGGCGAAGGCACUAGGCACCCAUUCAGAGAGGGCAACUCCUUCAAAGGCAAUGAGAGCUGAAGGCUGGCCAUCCCUGUGCCCCACCUCAUGUCUGUCACUCCUGCAUUGCGCCGCGCCCCAAGCCCGGUCCACCUGUCUCCCCAAAUCCAGCCCCUCACAUCCUCACGUCCUUCCAUGGGGUUCCUGCUCCCCACACUGCAGUCGUGGUGCCCCUGCCCUGCGUGGAGACCCUCGGUGUCUCCCCACUGCCCCUAUGUCUGCAUCCUGCCCCUCCCACCCAGGAUACACCUGCUCAGGCAACCUAUCCCUCCUGGGCCCCCCCACCGGAAUGGAGCUGUGCUAGUCUGCCUCCCUCCGCCCGUGGCCGGUAAGCGGCGCGGCCCUGAGCCUGUGAACCUCGGGUGGGAUCAAGAGCCAAGGGGGUAGCCGGCAGGCCUGGGCCUGGGCUGGGGGCCUGGGCAGGGUGCUUGACCUGUCGCCUCACUUGGAAGACGAGGGUAAAGUCACCCGCCUUGUUAGGUUGCGCUGAUCACAUGGGAUAAGGAUAGUGGGCUGCUGAGUGCUGGCUGUGACUCUCAGGAAGUACAAAUCAGUGACGGUCCCCAGGAGACCCAGGAGGCUCCUGCCCGAGCCCCUCCUUGAUACUGGUGUCCCCAGGCUACUCACUGCCAGGCCCCAGCUCCAU